UCUAAACGGUCGAUGAAACGGAAACACCUAAAACUCAAAGCAGGCGCGUGCCUUGGAAAAAUAGUAAACGAUACCAGCAAGAGAAAUACGAUAAUUUGAAAAGAGAAAUUUUUAGAAUUUGUGACCAAGAAGAAAUGUGACUUAGUAAUAAAACUAAAUACAUUUGUAACCUGAAGUGCACAGCAUGAAGUGAAGCUGGAAAAGAAAAAGCAACAAGCGUUUGUUGUUGGAAACGGUUAUCAAAAAAAAACAAACAACAAGAAUAAAUCAAAAUGAAGCAAAAAACAAUAUUGAGUGUAACCCAAGAAAAUUUCCCAAAUCAGCGAAAGAAGCACGAAAAUCUACGUUGAAAUGGAACCAAAUAACAAUAAAAAAGUAGUAGUAAAAGUCUCAGUUAUCAUUUGCUGACCUUCAUUAGCUACUCUUCCAACUAAACAGAAAUAAGCAACACCAAUUAGGACAAUAUGACACGCGUUCGGCAAAUUGUGAUGAUCCGGUAAUGAGUUAUAAUGUACACCGCUACACCACACCAAGGCGCUUCUAGAGAGUCACCGCCACGGGCUUAUUUAUUAAUAUUAUUCAUUGAAAAUUUUGUCUAAUAUACUUCAAAAGUUGUACAAU
This is a long non-coding RNA of Bactrocera tryoni, 621 nucleotides long. RefSeq lists it as uncharacterized. The record is from RefSeq and is a predicted model, not a curated record. The transcript is spliced from 3 exons. NCBI's taxonomy places the organism in Eukaryota, Metazoa, Arthropoda, Insecta, Diptera, Tephritidae.